RNAcentral lists this ribosomal RNA (497 nucleotides) under uncultured bacterium. RNAcentral's name for it is "partial 16S ribosomal RNA". It matches the Rfam family "Bacterial small subunit ribosomal RNA", at positions 28 to 507 of the family's 1533-position model. The record is from RNAcentral.
GAUGAACGCUGGCGGCGUGCCUAAUACAUGCAAGUCGAGCGAACAGACGAGGAGCUUGCUCCUUUGACGUUAGCGGCGGACGGGUGAGUAACACGUGGGUAACCUACCUAUAAGACUGGGAUAACUUCGGGAAACCGGAGCUAAUACCGGAUAAUAUUUCGAACCGCAUGGUUCGAUAGUGAAAGAUGGCUUUGCUAUCACUUAUAGAUGGACCUGCGCCGUAUUAGCUAGUUGGUAAGGUAACGGCUUACCAAGGCAACGAUACGUAGCCGACCUGAGAGGGUGAUCGGCCACACUGGAACUGAGACACGGUCCAGACUCCUACGGGAGGCAGCAGUAGGGAAUCUUCCGCAAUGGGCGAAAGCCUGACGGAGCAACGCCGCGUGAGUGAUGAAGGUCUUCGGAUCGUAAAACUCUGUUAUUAGGGAAGAACAAACGUGUAAAUAACUGUGCACGUCUUGACGGUACCUAAUCAGAAAGCCACGGCUAACUACGUG